This 325-nucleotide ribosomal RNA is filed under the name uncultured eukaryote. RNAcentral's name for it is "partial 18S ribosomal RNA". It matches the Rfam family "Eukaryotic small subunit ribosomal RNA", at positions 1470 to 1796 of the family's 1831-position model. The record is from RNAcentral.
CCCUUAGAUGUUCUGGGCCGCACGCGCGCUACACUGAUGCAUUCAACGAGCCUAUCCUUGACCGACAGGUCCGGGUAAUCUUUGAAUCUGCAUCGUGACGGGGAUAGAUUAUUGCAAUUAUUAAUCUUCAACGAGGAAUGCCUAGUAGGCGCAAGUCAUCAGCUUGCGUCGAUUACGUCCCUGCCCUUUGUACACACCGCCCGUCGCUCCUACCGAUUGGGUGUGCUGGUGAAAUGUUCGGAUCGGCCGUUUGUCGCAGUUUCCGCGUCAUGUGGCUGAGAAGUUCAUUAAACCCUCCCACCUAGAGGAAGGAGAAGUCGUAACA